AAGUGGAGCAAUCCAUGAGUACAGUGGCGCACUGGUGAGUAACACGUGGGUAUCCACCUCUUUGUGGGGAAUAACCUUGGGAAACCGAGGCUAAUACCGCAUACGUCCGAGAGGAGAAAGCCGCAAGGCGCAGAGAGAGGAGCCCGCGCCCGAUUAGCUGGUUGGUGAGGUAAGAGCUCACCAAGGCGACGAUCGGUAGCCGGCCUGAGAGGGCACACGGCCACACUGGCACUGAAACACGGGCCAGACUCCUACGGGAGGCAGCAGUGGGGAAUCUUGCACAAUGGGGGAAACCCUGAUGCAGCGACGCCGCGUGAGUGAUGAAGCCCUUCGGGGUGUAAAGCUCUUUCGACAGGAACGAUAAUGACGGUACCUGAAGAAGAAGCUGCGGCUAACUACGUGCCAGCAGCCGCGGUAAUACGUAGGCAGCAAGCGUUGUUCGGAAUUACUGGGCGUAAAGAGUGCGUAGGUGGUUGGCUAAGUUUGGUGUGAAAUCUCCCGGCUCAACUGGGAGGGUGCGCCGAAAACUGGCUAGCUAGAGUGUGGGAGAGGGACGUGGAAUUCCUGGUGUAGCGGUGAAAUGCGUAGAUAUCAGGAGGAACACCUGCGGUGUAGACGGC
This 620-nucleotide ribosomal RNA is filed under the name uncultured Acidobacteriota bacterium. Its description in RNAcentral is "bacterial SSU rRNA". It matches the Rfam family "Bacterial small subunit ribosomal RNA", at positions 72 to 725 of the family's 1533-position model. The record is from RNAcentral. Lineage: Bacteria; Pseudomonadati; Acidobacteriota.